Long non-coding RNA from Cydia pomonella (codling moth), 4243 nucleotides. RefSeq lists it as uncharacterized. The transcript is spliced from 2 exons. The record is from RefSeq and is a predicted model, not a curated record. NCBI's taxonomy places the organism in Eukaryota, Metazoa, Arthropoda, Insecta, Lepidoptera, Tortricidae.
CCACCCCCACUCAAUCGAACAGGCCACGGACCGGACCAAGUUAUCGUCCAGUACGCCAGUCUGUUAGACAUUUAUCUGAAAUCGCCAUACCAUUUGUAUCAAGGUCGGUGGAAGCUUUUGUGCAUUGCUUAAAAUACGCAAUACUGACAACGGACCAAUUGUAGCUCGUCAAGGUUUGUUUUCUUCAACGAAACUUUGUUUGACCACGAUUACUCAAUUUAAACCACCCACCUACGAUUGAUCUUUUAUAAAAUGAGGCACUGUCAUUAGCUGUAGCCUUGUCACUUAAAAAUACAUGACAAUGGAAUCCGACUCUAAGUAAACGGUUUCAUGCAAUAUAAAACAUGUUUUAAAUGAAAUAUUUUUGUAUGAUAAUUUAGUAUUUUAUUUAAAAGUGAAUUAAUAUAUAUAUGCUUAUAACUUGUAUCGUUCAUCUUAUAACGCACCGGUUCCGAUGUUAAGUUGACACAGAAAUAUGUCAGAUAGAAAUUAAUGUAAAUUGCGGAGCUAUGGUUGAGGCAAAUGGCCACCAUGGUCUAAGUUGUGCAAGGUGUGCUGGUAGGCAGGCACCAUUCCAUAAAUUAUAUCGUUCUUCGGGCAUUGAUAUCCGCCCAGCUGCCUUGUGCUCUAGACCCUCAGGGUUUGAGUAGGCCAGACUGCAAACGACCGGAUAGGUUAGCGCUGGUUCUUUGGACGAGGGGGCGUGGUCUCAUUUGGGAUGCGACGUGCGUACGUAAGUACAUUCACUCCGUUGCAUUUUAGCCACACAGUGCGGAGAGCUGGGGCUGCAGGAGAGGGUGCAGCAAAGCUCGAGCAUUCCAAAUACUCGAACUCGGAACCAGUUUACGACUUUGUUCCGGUUGCAGUGGAAACUGGUGGACCCUGGUCUUCUGAGCCGAAAACUUUUAGGUUAAGAGCAAAGCCAAAAUGCAGGCAUCCAAGAUGAAGCGCGUAUUUUUUUCAUUUAUGCAUAAACCCGAGCUCGCGCGGACAGUACCAUAGGCAUAAGCUGGCCAUACAUACUAGGGUACGUCUGCGCAGUUAUGCGUGUACAGUUCAACUGCACAGGUAAAAAUGAGCGUAUGUGGCAUUCGACUAUGCAGUUUUCUACGACUGCACAGGUGGCCUGCGCAAAUAAGAUUUUUUUGACCAGUUUACCAUCUUGAAAUGUACAGGUAAAACUGAGCAGGCUUCAGUUCUACGGGGAUCGCGGAGAUUGAAGAUGUCAGUGUCAUCUUUUUUUUGAGAGAAAGCGCUAUGAUUGUUUGUCCUUGGCACAGUUUAAUUUUUUUUAUUCCCUACCGUAAAUUUUAGUAUGGCUUAUGGUGGACAACAAAUAAUCCGACCAAAUUACGUAGAUUGUUUUUGGUGCAUUGCGUAUGUUCUGUCCCUUACGGGCGCACGCGUAUAGCACAUCUCGUUGAUCCUACCAUCUAUGACCAUAGGGAUAGAUCGGUCUCUAUAAUUUAUCGGUUUUUAGGAUAUCGACUCAUGAUAUACUCGCUAGCAAACAGCAUUAUUAAUAUUAUUUAGAUAGGGCAACACAUGAUGUCAAAUUGUCCAUGUCAAAUUCCUUUCCACAGUGGUUAGCUUUGCUCACAUGUCAUAUACAAAUUUAGAUCACAUCGAUAUUGAUGUAAAAAGAACAUAAGUUCUUGCUAAACAUUUAUUUUAUUGGCAUUGGAUCUCAGGCAGUGAUUCAGGAAAUAGUUUUGACCUUUGUGCGGAUUAAAGAUAGUCUAUAAAUUUGAUAUAGUUAUGGCAUCGUAGCGGCAGUUAACAUUAAGUACUUAAUGGGUCAAGCGGUCAACUGUAAUUAAUUUUCUUUUCGGUGACUCGUUUUCUUUCCCGCUCAGAUUUAAUGAUAUUUGUUUUUCUGUUGAUUGUUUUGUUGAAGUGGACAGUUUCAUUUAAAGACUGUUGCAUUUAAAUCAUAAUUAAUACAAAGAAAUGCCUUGCUGUGCAUCUGUUUUAUGCACAUAGCUGAAAGAUUGAUAAAUAUAUUUAAAGUGGUCUUUAUAGUUCAAUUAAUUUAAUUGUAUAGUUUCUAUUUAGAACAUCAACAUGUCUUACCAACAUAGCUUGCUUCAAGUCUUCCAUUGCCUUUUUUCUGUUGUUCUCACUCAAGCACGUCUUUCUACCAGACUAACUUAAAAGAUGUAAUAAAAAAAUAUUAUUUUGGAUAUAACACUUAGGGCCACUUGCACCAAUCAGUAACCCUGGGGUUAACUGGUUAAACCUGGAAUUACCAGUACAAUUUGACCCUGAGUUAAUGGUUUAACUGGUUAACCUGAGUUAGUGGGAUGGUGCAAAUGGCCAUUGUUGACAGUUAUUGUUUUACAUACUAGCACUUUCAGAUAAACCUUACAUGGUACUAGUGUUGUUAGUAUUAUUUUGAUGUAUAUAAAUGUACCUAGUUUCUGUUUCAAAAAGUUUUCUGGAUGUUUUUUGUCUCUAAGUCAUUUGAAUGAAUUUCUGUAACAAUGCUAUGGUGUAGUUUUAGCGUUUAAGCUUUAUCUUUAAAAUCAUUCAGUCUUGUUAGGCUCAUAUCUGCAGGUAUGCAGUGUCUUUCAAUUCAUCUCAAAUUAGUCUGAUUUCUUUACUUGCAUGCACUAUGUUCAGUAUUUGGGUAUGUUUGUAUCCAUUUUUGACAGGUGCCGGCUUAGCAUAGUAUGGUUCGAAUUCGGAAAUUGUAAUUGUAGUUUAUGGUAUGUUCUGGCUUAGCAUAGAACGGGUGGAAUAGCAUCGCAAAUUGUAAUAAGCUUAUUGUGCAGAAGUCAUAUUAUUUUUGUAUAGGUUUGCGCAGUAAUCUCACUUAACUGCAGUAGUUGUGGUUCCCUGUUGUUUAUUUUGUUGGAGUCAAAAGUGAUUGGACAGAGUUGGCAGAUUGUGAUGAUUAAAAUAUAUUUUUACUUGUCUUGUUGUACACAGCAUACAAAUAUAAUUGUAGUUUCCAAAUUGAGUAGUCAGCUGCAGAGAUAAUUGACUCUACAAACUAUUUUCUAUGCAGGGAGGUCAGUUAUCUCUGCAUCUGACUGUUGUUUGGUGAUGAAAGCCAACUACUAUUUAUAGUAUUUAUAUAAAAUAAAUAAUAAUUAUUAUAAUUUGCCAAAUAACUCAUGUUAAUAGUAUGUAUGAUUUAUUGAUAUAAUUGCUUUAAAGGAUUUGUAUAUUGUACGCAAAUUGCUGGUAUGUUGACUCGAGUUGGUAGAUUAAUAUUAAUAAUUGAUUCAUUGGGUUCUUUUGUUCUUUUUUUUAUUUAGGGACUUUUAAUAUCUUAAGAUUACACCAGUCCCAUCGGACCUUAAACUAAAUUAUUAUCAUCUACGGCCUGACAGACUGACUAAUAUACACUAUACACACACCUUUGCCUCUUCUGAGUUUGGUGUCACCGAGAUGCGCCUACAUCUAACCUAUUAUGAUUCAGUGACUUCAUCAAUCCGCACAUAUUCCACCAAUACAUGUUGAACAUCUUUUUUAGAGAUUGGAUGAUUAUUUUGAUUACAAAAUUAAUUUUAGCCUGACUAAUAAGUUGAAAUGGUGGUUGGUUGUCUAAUACCGUUUAGAAUUUGGAAAUAAAAUCUUAUGACUAGGCUAUUACAAUAUUAAAAAAGGAAACUGAAGUUCAGGACCUGGAGGAGUAUUCCUUCCCUUCCUUGCCUUCUGCUCUUAAGUUUGAGGUAGGCUGCUCAGUGGUAUAGAAUUAGCGCGGGUGGUGGGUUUUGCACGAUAAUGCGAUCGUUCGCCUUCCGAGCGACCUUUUUUGACAGAUAGACAGACCAGUAUAAUUUCCAGCUGCCAGGAUCACGCCAGCCACCGCUGUGAGGCGGCAGGGACAGAUCUUCUCUCGAAUCUUUCACUCCUUCAGUGGAUGAAUGAGGGGUCCUUUUAUACUACGUCGGUGGCAAACACGCAUAUGGCCUGCCUGAUGGUAAACGGUUUCCGUAGCCUAUGUACGCCUGCAACUCCAGAGGAGCUACAACUUCCGAACCCAUUUUUGUUCUUCUCUUUUUUUCCCUUUAAAUAUGUAUAUCAUUUUGGUUUUGUUUUGUUUUUAAACUUAAUAAACAUUUCUUUGUAUAUUUUAUUUUGUAUUAUUACUAUUGUUUCAAAACAUGAACAUUUCGCUUAUAUUCUCAAUAAACUAUAUCUUAAGUGUCUUCGGUUUCUGCCUGGUGUGUGGAAGGCGAACUAAGCCCAGCCUCUUUCGUUCUUCAUUUUCCUUCCGGUGGUUGGGGUCGAG